AGACACUAUUGAUUCGGUUGUUGAACUUGACUCAAGUAAAGUGAUAGAAGGAAAUGUUGAACUAGGAUUGCUAGUUGAUAAUUGUGGACACUAUUGGCUCGGUUGUGGAACCUGAAUCAAGUAAAGUGAUAGUAUUUGUUGAAGGAAAUGUUAAGCUAGGAUUGCUACAUAAUAAUUCUAUGUACUCUGUGUGGUCUGUAUCAUGUUUAAC
Molecule: long non-coding RNA, 211 nt
Organism: Amphimedon queenslandica
Lineage: Eukaryota; Metazoa; Porifera; Demospongiae; Haplosclerida; Niphatidae
Exons: 3
Source: RefSeq, a predicted model, not a curated record